This is a long non-coding RNA of Hypanus sabinus (Atlantic stingray), 809 nucleotides long. RefSeq lists it as uncharacterized. The transcript has 3 exons. The record is from RefSeq and is a predicted model, not a curated record. NCBI's taxonomy places the organism in Eukaryota, Metazoa, Chordata, Chondrichthyes, Myliobatiformes, Dasyatidae.
CGUGGAGCGACGAAACAAUGUUCAAACUACACAUCGAGGCUUCUUCAAUUAAAUACAACAGAGGAAAAGAAUUUUUUUUUCAACGCUGUCUGCCAUCAAAAUAGAAAAUACUGGAUUGGAAAAUGUAAAGACGGGAAAGUGGCCUCUAAUGUCCUGUACAAGACACACUCUGGGAACCUCCAUUGCACUGAAUGUAAAUCGUCCAGUGGGCGAUCCCCUUGCAAUCGUAAUGAACACCAUUUCAUCUGCGAGACGGCUGCAUCUGUGUACCCGGAUAUUCCUGAGGAGAUCCAGGAUCUCUGUCGACAUCCAAUACGGGAGUUAUCAAUCAUGUGACAACCCCCGCUAUCUCCCCUGUCUCUCAACCCCACCGACAAUUCCCCAUCUGCCCCUCGGCCCUUCUUUACUCCCCUAUUCCUCUAUCGCACUCUCUCUCCAUAUCUCCUACCCUGUCUGACCCAAUGCGAUUUAAAGUGCCCCUCAGGCAAAAUGAGCCAGCAAUAACCCCCGAUUUAAUCCUGGCCUAAUCACGGGACAAAUCGCAAUGACCAAUUCGCCCACCGGCAGUCUUUCGCCCUCUCCUUUCCGGCUCCCUCCUACGUCUGUCUCCCCUAUCUGAUCAACUCGAUCUCCCUCCUCUCGCUUGCCUGUCAGCACAAUCCUGUGUCCUCAGAUUCUCGAUUCCACGACCCUAGGGACUGUGCGCAUCCACCCUAUCUGUGCACCCCGUCGUUUUUGCAGCUCUGCAUCGUCACUCCUACGCUCCAAGGAAAAAUGCCCCGACUUACCCCACCUCUGUUCAUGCCUGU